RNAcentral lists this long non-coding RNA (31011 nucleotides) under Ananas comosus (pineapple). RNAcentral describes it as "long non-coding RNA (ACOM_LNC012770)". Lineage: Eukaryota; Viridiplantae; Streptophyta; Magnoliopsida; Poales; Bromeliaceae. The record is from RNAcentral.
ACUAUCAAAGUAUCUAUACUAUAUAUCUAUAGUAAGAUAAUUUUAUUUAUAAAUAUUUAUUUUUUAUUAUAUAUAUAGUAUUUUAUUUUUAUAUAGAAAUAUUAUUAUAUAAUAUUUUAUUUAUAAAAUUGUAAUUAUUUAUUAAUAUUUUUAAAUAUAUAACUCUUAUAUAUUUAUGUAAUAUAUGUUAUUAUAAUUUUAAAUAUAUUUAAUCUAUAAAUAAUAAUAAUAAAUAUAGUAUAAUGAUUAUUAUAAAUUAAUAAUAUAUAUAAUAAAAAAUAUAUUAAAUAGUUUUUUAUUUAGUUGUUUAGAAAAUUUUAUUUUUUUCUACAAAUAAAAAACUAAACGACAUAAAAAAAAUUUCCACCAAAAAAUUUUUAUUUUUCUCUACAAUUUUACGUGAAAUAAAACACACCGUAAAAUUAAAUUUACAAAAAGCGACGAAGAAGAAUACCAUGUUUGCUCCCUACCACAAAAACAUGCGAAAACCAAGUCUUUUUUUUAUUAUUUCACUCUCACAAGCCACAAACAAAAUGAAAAGUAGGAUUAGGAAAGAGAGAUAAGGAAAAGCAAAUCGGGUGAGUGUGUCGUGAGCCAACGAUUUCCAUUCUGUUGCUCUGCUGCACAGCUAGCUGGAUUCGGCCAUGGCGACGGUGCCUUCGUCUCUUUCCUGCACCCUCCGCACCUCCUUCCUCCUCUCCUCUCACCCUCCGGCUAAGCUCUCCUCCGUCCCCCUCCUCAAAUCCCGACGCCCCACUCCGCCCUCUUCCUACCCCCGCGUAAGAGCCCUCGAUCUCGACCAGAACACGGUACCUUCUCUCUCUCUCUCUCUCUCUCUCUCUCUCUCUGUAAUUUCCAAUGUAUGUUUCCUAUGUGGGAUCGAUGAUUGUACCUGAGAAACGCCCCCUUAGUUUCCCUUGCCUUACCUUAAAAUGACAGCUCGUGGCCAUCUCCGUCGGAGUCGUCAGCGUUGCCGUGGGCAUCGGGAUUCCCGUGUUCUACGAGACCCAGAUCGACAAUGCUGUACCAAUUCCCUUCCCCCUCUUCUCUCUCUCUAUUAGGGGUUUCUCUCUAUAUUAGGGCUUUCUAUGGGUUUUUUCUUUUUUUUUUUUUUUUUGUAGGGGCGGGCAAAUUACAUUCUUGUGUAUGCGCAGGCUAAGCGGGAGAACACGCAGCCGUGCUUCCCGUGCAAUGGCACCGGUGCGCGUAAGUUGCUCCACCCAUCACUCCCCCCUCCUGUUGGUUUCUUCUUCAUAUGAACGGUUGUUCUCUUCCCUGCCUGUUGCUUAUAAUUAGUUUGCUGGAUAGUUAGUACUACCGUAAAGGCGUGUAAACACAAAUGCAGUGAUAAUGAUUGUAACUUAUUCUGAAUUUUGGUGCAAUUUGUUCCAAGUCGAUGAAGUAAUAGUUUAUAAAUGAAAAAAAACAAAAAUGGAAGAUUUGGGCCGCUCUGUCGCAGUUCGAAAAACAGAACAUAACCUCCUGGGGAGUGGGGAGAAUCAGCUGCAAAAUGGGACACUUUUAUAUCACCAAUCAUCUCUUUAUUGUAAACUUCAAGUUUGUCAGUUACGUUUUUCAACGCCUCAUUAGCAAUAUUUUUGCGUAUUUUGAUACUUUUGAGAUUCAAAGUCGGCUUUCGAAACUAGCGAAAGGUUCAUAGUAAGAGCUCUGUUUGCUGAGCCGCGAGUAGAGACUCAAAAUUGAAUUGGAAAUAUAUAUUGCUUUUGUUUUUGCAGAGACGUGUAGAUUGUGCACGGGCAAAGGCAGUGUAACUGUAGUGCUUGGCGGAGGUGAGACAGAGGUGUCGCAAUGUAUCAACUGCGAAGGUGCUGGCUCCUUGACUUGCACCACAUGUCAAGGCACUGGAAUCCAACCGCGCUAUCUCGACCGCAGGUAAUAACAUUACAUUAUUUAUAACAUGUUUUUUUUUGUCUGAGUAAUGAUCGAUGCUGUAAGAGCUAUGCUGUAAGAGCUGUUAAUUUUCCAAUCAUUUUAGAGUAAAUUGUGUUGGGGGGUCCCCAACCUCUCAAUUGGUACAGUGAGAUCUCUAACCUUUUCAUUCCUCACAAUCGUAACCGUUUUGUUACAUUUCUUUUCUUGUGUUAAAUUAAAUGAAAAUGCCCAAAUACUUGGACAUUUCAUAAGUCCAAAAAUCGCUUCCGCAAGAGCGUGAUGCGGCUAUGCGGAGCGGUCGAUAUUUCUGUCCAAUUUAAACCAAAAGGAUGGGUAGGAUUGCAACAAAUGCAAGAAUCAGGGACCUAACUGUAUACAUGUACCGAACUUCAUAGUUGGGGGAUCAACUGAAACUAUUGCAGAUGGCUGGUGAGACAUUCCUUUUUGUUCUUACCUAAAAUUGUAGAUGGAUUACAACUUAAUGAUAUAGCUAAAAUCUAUCAUUUAUUAGCUCUAAAAUUAGAAUGUAAUGGUAGCCUUAUUCUUUGAAUUCACUUAACAGGGAGUUCAAGGAUGAUGAUUGAAGCCUUUCCCUCUUGACUGAUGUCCUGAAUAGAGAGACUGAAUAUGUUUUUCAUGUGGGCCCAUGGGAUGUGAAGCAAACAUGGAAAGGGGUCCUCUACUAAAUAAGGAAUAUCAUAUUUUAGGAUCGUCUUAAAUCAUUCAUUUUUUGGCACGAAUGUAAAGAUACUGAGUUGGUGUUUCAGUAGAUAUUUAUUUGUUUUGUAUUGCUGCUUGAAUUUUAAUGACCUGUUCUGUGGUACAACCUUAAGACAUACUAAAUGAGUAAGCAAUGUAUUUGCAUAUUGCUGGGGUAAGUGAUGUAUGUGAUCAUUUAACAGUAAACUCAUUUAUGCUUUCUACACCAUUUUACUAAGCAUUUUAAUUGGCUGGUUACAAAUUUUCAAGUAUAUUAUUUAAUGUACGAGUAUGUAAUUAUAGUUAGUAUCUAGAGAGAACUACUAAGAAAGCGCCCUCGAUGUGUAAGGUUAUAGAAGCUUGGUCGGAAAGGAAUAAGAUAUUUGACAUUCACAUCUUUUUAGAAUAAGAUAAAUCUCAAGGCAAGUGAAAUACACUAUGCAACCUAAUUAUAGUUUUCAAGACCUUCCAAUGAGUCAAAUUCCUUGCAAUCACCAAAAAAAACCUUACAAGUGCAUUAGUUCACAUGGCAUAAACUGUACUGGCAUUCCAGACAACUAAUAUGAGUGGUGCUUCUUGUGGAAGCACUACAAUUAUCCACCAAACAACAACUACUCUGCAAAAGCACCAAAUUAAAGCAUUUGAGGGGAAAAAAAUAUAUAUCUUAUUUCAGCUUCUGUAUGCAACAGAAAUUCUAUACUAAUUUGUUUGCCACAUGCUCGAACGAAAAAGGCCACAACUACAAGCGAAAUAGCACCCAUUACUAGCCUAUGUGUCAUAUUGCUGUCAAGUACAUAGCACAGUUAAUCCAACCCCAGUUUAUAAACCCAAUACGUGUAUUGGACUGUGAUGAACGACACAGUAACUUAAAAUAAGAAGCUGCACACAGAAGAUGAAGACAUAUGGAAGGACAAUAAAUAGGAGCUUCUUCAAAAGUACUUAUCAAGUAAAGACCUUCCGAGAAGCACCUACUUUUCCAUUAAAAUCUGCUCACUUAUUGUCCACAGCAGUAGAAGCACAAGUGUCGCUUUACUUGGUAGUUCCAACAUUUUGUUCAUCGGUUUGAAACAUUAGAAAGAUCAGGCUUAACUAUCAGAAACAUCAAAGAUCUACAUAAGAAUCACAUUCAAGUAUUCAUAAUCCACAUGCUAAUCAAGUACAUGGAAGAAAAGUUUUCAUCACAAACUCCCAAAACUCAGUUUGUACAGGUUCAGUAACAAUUCUUGGUCUUGGCGUUCCUAGUACUAGAGCAUCCUAUACAGCAGCUAUAAGUACAGAAUACAGAAAACCAACUGGUGACUUAACACACUAAUUAAUUCUUUUUUAUUAACUUUACUAAUUCAGGAAAACCUCAAUAAUGCGAGAAUGGUAGUUUGAUAAUUUUCAGCAGCAGGAGAAUUCCGAUUUAACUCCCAAUAUAAUACUCACCACGAAUGUAAGACCCCCAAAAAAAAGGAAGAGGAAAAGCAAUAUCAAGUAGGAAAACCUCACAAACCAAAACUCUCAAUUCAGCAGCACAUACAAGCUAUGGCACACUACCAGUGUGAGCAGCUGCGUCUUUCUGAGUUUUACACCUGCAACAAAAGAAAUAGCUUUACUUACCAAGAGAUGAGCAUAUUCAAAUGGCUAUCCUUGCAUGGUACGGUAUAUGCAAUAUAGACCAAUUCAAUUGUCCCUCUAUUUCAUAUUAGUUAAAAAUAAAAAAUAAAAAAAAUUCUGCCAGUUGGUACUAAUCCUAGUAUCUUUGAUUGUUCAAAUACUAUCAUAUGUCAACUAUUUUAUUAAGAGACCAAAUUAAACACAUCAUAAGCCCAGUCUGAAGAUAAUACUCAUACCUAUUGCAAUAUGUUCGCGAUGCAAAAUUGUGAUUGUUGCAAUUACUGCACAUCCAGUCCCCAUCACGCCAUUGUUUCGCACUGAUAAACAGAAAAAUUAUUUAGUAGGGAUCACCAUUCAAUAUUUUCAAAAUGAGAAGAAAAUCUUUUAAGGAUAGAAAGGUUCUUUCUGAAAAGUGUCACAAGUGGCUAUACAUACAAUACAGAAAAUUGAAAUCCUGGUGUUGCAAAAUGGGAUGUCCGACGAAUUUACCACAAAUUAAUCAGGAAAAGUGGUUUGAAGAUACAUAGAAUUCUUUUUUGUACAUAAAUGAAAAAGAAUAUGCAACAUAUGUAUUGGAUAUAUAUAUAAGAUUAAUAAAUAUUUAAGGGCUACAAAAUGUAUAUAUUAUGGAAAUGACAAAUGACAUUUUAGACAUCAAUUAUUAACAGAAUGCCAUAUACAAAUUCUCAUGAUGCAUUAUUGCAACUGUGCAAGCCUAUAUACUUACAAGAUAAAAGAGGAUUGAAAGCAUGCCAUUCACAUAUGCAACUAAGAAUCCACAAGAAUGCAUAUAGGCAUUUAUACUUGUGUUUUUAUGUCUAUCACUCUAUUGCAUGCAGCAGAUACCAUAACAGCAUAAGCACACGGAUAGACAUAAUUAUAUUAGAAGAAUAUCAUAAAUACAAAAAGAUUGGCAUACCCUUUUCCUAUGAGUGCAGGCAAUGUUGCAACUUGUCGAGACUGUUGGUUUACUUGUAUAGAUGGCACUGUUGCUGAGUUUUCAUUAGCCUUGGGAUAAAUCCCCGGUGUCUGAUCACUGUUGGAUCCGGCUGAAUUCUUGAAAUCCUAAAAAUGAAAACAGCAUUGUAAGAGUUUUCCAAACUGCAGAAUAAAUGAAUAAUAUAAAUAGAAAAAAUAGCAAGUCGAAUUAUACCGAAAACUGGCGAUUUGCAUGCCCUGCAUUUAGCCUUUUAUUAUCCCAAUCAUUGAUGAACUCUUCAGGCGCCAAUCUUUUCGUACCCAAUGCUGAAAAAGAAAAAAGGAAUAGGUUAGUAAGCUUCAAAAUAAAUCAUUAUGCAGGAUGGUGGCAAGAACUUGUAGUAAUAUGUGAAUAAAUAAGCUAACUAACAAUAAGGGCUUGUUUGGUUCAAGGGUGGAAUUGAAAUGGAUAAUGGAAUGGGAAUGAAUUGGAAUGGUAAUUGGAAUGGCCCACUCCCCCAAGACGUUUAGUUUAUUUGUGGAUUGGGAAUUGGAAUGAGUUAUUCACAUUUCAUUGUUUGGUUCGUAUAAACUAAAAAAAUUAUAGAAUACUAUAAUACUAAUUUUACUCUCAAAUAUAAAUUUAUAUUUUUUAAAAUUUAUGAAAAAUAUAAUACUAUUCUCUAAUAAGUUUUCCAAAAAAAAUAUCAAAUUUAUUUUUAAAAUUUUUUAUUGAUGUGGGUUAGGAAUAGUGUUUUGAGAAAGGCUUUUUUUUCUUGAUGAGAAAGGGGUGAAGAGAAGGAGGGUGAGAUGGUCACAUAGGCUUCGAGAAGUUAGUGGGCUUCCGGAAUGAAAUCUCAAUCCGGGCUAGAAGACCGGAAUCAAGUUGAAGGCUAAUGGGCCAUUCUCAUUCCAGUCCGGAAUAGGAAUCCCAAACCGAUUCAUGCGAACCAAACAAAAUUAACCGGAUUUGAUCAAACCGAUUCCCAUUCCAUACCCAAAAUGGAUGAACCAAACAAGCCCUAAGAAUUAACUAGCAAUAUGUUCGUGAAUAUAUAUAUAUAUAUCAUCCUCUAGUUACAUGUAAAAGAAACACUCCAACUGUUCUUCAUCAAAGAAAGCAAGGCUACACCAAUCACCAAUGCAUCAGAAAUACCGCAUAUUUCUAUUCAUUCCAUAAAUUACUAGGAUCUGCCAGCACUAAUUUAUAGAAAUCAUCUAAGAAUACUAUAAAAUAAAGUCCACUAGGAUAAGCAGUGAGUCAAUAACAUAUCACUAGAAAAGAAAAGGUUAUGAUGACAACAGAAUAUUAGAAAUCUGCUCAAGCACAUGUGUACUGCCUUUUGAAGUGACUUUGGAGCAUAUGAAAGAUGAUAAAAAUCACCCCAUAUGUUCAAUGAAAAUAAAAUAACAUAGCAUAAAUGUUCAAUAGAUUACAAUAUAUGUUCAAUUGAUUAUGAUAUAUGAUGAAACAAAAUGCUUUCCACGGAGCAGGCCAGUAUAUAAGACUCACACAACUGCUACAACAAAAGAAGUGUCAUCUGUGAGCAUUCACAGCACCUAGAGAGGUUGCUCCUAUGGUCUUAAAAGCUUUGUAUAGUUUAUUACAAGGUCUUCAAUUUCGCCUCGACCAUCAAAGCAAUCAGCAAUCCGUUGUCGGAUUAGUUUACAAGUCACAAUCUUAAAACAGCUAGCUAGAUCAAGAUCUUUUCAUGAAUCUCACCCAAAAGACCCAAAAACAAUUUCAAGCGUGCAGUAAGAACAAAGCAUUCAAGUGAGAUCAGCUGCACAGGAAUCAGGCAGAAGCAAAAUGGGAACAAAAUCAGCAGUUCCAAAUAAGAACCUCAAAGCAGAAAAUUACACAGCGAACCAGAAGUGGAAGAAGUUAGAUGACAUAUAUUACUUGGAAAAAUAUCUGAAGCCAUUGUAUUCAUUGUCGUAGAGGGUGCAGCAGAUGGUAUAGGCGCAUUGCAUUCUUUACACUGCCCAAAGAGAAUAUGAAUCAGGAUAUAUGACCAACAUUAUUUGAAGAUAAGAAGAUUAAUGUUUGUUAACUAAAAGGAAAAUGAUAAUGUAGUUUAGGCUUCUUAACAUCUUACCCUAGCUAACUCCUACAUAUCCAAGUGUUAAGCUCUCAAAGGUAGAGCCCUCCAGACAGAAGUACAAGGUGUAGGCACAUGCAUGCAUGCUAUGUGAACCGAUUUUCAGAUACUAAGACUCUUAUUCGAAUACAGACCAGAUAUACACAAUAACGGUAGCUUUCCUUGUUCAUUAAUUAGAAAUAACCCAAGUAAAUGCUAAGAAUAAAGAAAGUACAUCACACUUACUAUGUAGGAACUUAUUCCACAUUAGUCCUUGAAUUCAUUAAGUGAGAAAUACUCAUUCUGUAAAGUUCACCAUGGUUCACUAUAGUAAUUAAUGCUUCAGUCUACUUGGCCUUAUUUUCUUCUAAUAAUUAGCUGAGAUGCCAACAUAUAGGACUGAUUAGACAAUUUUAAGUUUUUUGUAAAGUUCUAACUUGUAAAUAUCAAACCGGUAAGGUCCUAUAUAUUAAAAUUAGAUUAGCCUCUUUAGUCCAAUCACACAACAAAAUUGACAGUGUUUUCUGGAAUGGAGUAAAUAUUAUAACACUCCAUAUACUGCAAACCAAAAAAGUUGAUUGUAAUCUUAUUAUGUCCAUAAUUCUCUAUCUUCUUCUUUUUGUAUUACUAAAAUGCGAAAAAAUAAAAAAAAAAAAAAAGAUAAAUAAAUGAAGAGAAACCACCUCAGUGCGCGAUGAAUAGUUAUGGAAACCGCAUUUGCAUAUCCAAUCACCGUCACGCCAGCCGUUCAGAACCGUAGGAAGUUGAUUUCUGUUACCAGAAGAGGAAAACCCCGCACUACUGCUACUUCCACUGAAUGUCCAAUCAGGAGUAGAUUGAAGCCCAUAUCUACUAAACCCGCCAUACAACCAAUUAGGGUUUUGUUGUAGAAGUGACUGCUGUAGAGCCAAGUAAUUCAUCUUCAACCCUGCUAAUUCCUGUGCUGAUCUGGCAAAAUAAUGUGCAUAAUUUGCUGGCAGAGAUAAUCCAUGCAUUGCAAUUGCUGGGAGAGCCGACUCCUCCUUUGGCUGGCCACACUUUUUGCACUCCUUUCUGGACGCAUAAUUGUUGUUACUGCAACCUAUACAUCCCAACCAAAUAUGCAACCACCGAAGUAAUACGCAACACCAACCAGUUAUUCCAAAACAUAACACACACACGCACACACACACGCACCCAAGUGCGCAUGCGCACACACUCAAUUCAACUUGUUCAAAUAUUGUAAAGCAGAACAGACACUCUAUUCAACUUGUUCAAAUAGUGUAAUGCAGCUUCUAAGCCUGCAUAUCUAUUAGGUUUAUUGCAUAUAUAAAACAGCUAAUAUGCAAAACUGUGCAAAUACCCAGCGAAGUUGGUAUUUGCAUGCAAAACUGUGCAAAUACGCAGCGAAGUUGUUAAAACUUUGCUUAUUUCGCACAUACACAUGCCAGGGGUAUAUACGCACAUAAGGUUUUUGCCCAUAAACCCUGGCAGGGUUAUUAGUGACGAUAAAUAAAUUAAAUGAACAAAAUGUCAGGGGCACCAAUGAUAAUUAAUGCAAGCAACUGUGGAAGCCAAACUGUUCAAAAAAAGGUAUCAUAAACUAGAAAGUACAAAUGAUAUAGAGCAAUGGAAAAUGUGAAUACUGCCUAUAUGUACAUAGGCUAUCGUAUAAGGCACUACCGCUAUAAACUAUAAUAUGAAUAUUUGUUGAAGGUGCAGAAAGAACAAGCUAUCUUGGUCAACUAGCAUGUUAAAAUUAUCAAUGUAUAUUGGCUCAGAUUAUCCUUUUUAAUGCAGUUACCUUCCUCCUAUAUUACUUUCGAAACUGGAAAAUUUAUUUUACGCAGUUAUAUUCUAGCAUAAAGAACUACAAAAUUUGAUAUGAAACUAGUUUUCUGAAACACUUUGCUUAACCAAUCCUAUUGCAGCUUUUUGCUUUGAUUCUUUAUUAGUGUACAAAAUUGUGUUUAAAUUGAAGAUACUAUAAUUUAAUAUAUCAAAAGCAGUUCCUGUGAUUACCACGCAGUUGAGUGAAACUAUUAAAACUAUUCCCGGGUCAUAUCCUAUGAGAUUGAGCUAUUAGAAAAGACAAACGAAAUAAAGUAGAAUAUACAUAAGCCAUUUUGAAAUGCACCUUCAACUUUAUCUUCUGAGCUUGACAAACCCUUAACAUUUAGUCAUUUUAUUCGAUUCAUUUUCCUACAUUAGAUCAAAAUUUUGUUAAAAUUCACAGCUCCAUUAUCUGUAAGUCAUUAAUUGUUUGCACAAUUCAUAGUUCACCCUUUCAUGCAUAAAAAACAUUCAAAACAAUUAAAUUCAAAAAAAAUCAUUGUUAAAAUAAACAAAUCCUCAAUAUAAUUGAUAGAUGUAAUUUAAACAAAAAUAAUCAAAAGAAAAAUAAGUCGAGGGCCUAGUUCCAAAUUUGAGGGUGUCCCAUACAUUUCCUUCAGAUUUUCGUUAUGGAACAGUGAAAAGCAAGCGUGGUUUCGAAUCUUUCGAUCAGAAACAAAACUUCUAGGGCAUCAAGCACGUCAAAACCAACAUCGACACGAAUUCUUCACAAUCGAAGGUAAACAAAGCGUCAAUACGAUCGAGAUCACAAAAUCUCACCAUUCUUUCAAAACCUAAACCCUCCGACGAAACAUCUAGGGCACAAAACACGUCAAAACCAACAUCGAUACGCAUUUUCCACGAUCAAAAGCAACGAUUAGAGUUUCGAAGAGAAUACUGGGGUUAGGGUUAGGGUUUUGAGAUUACCGGCGCAGAUCCAGUCGCCGAUGCGGGGUAGCCACUUGGAGUCGCGGGGGGUGUGGGCGUCGACGAGAAGGCGCGGCUGCUUGCAGCGGUUGCAGAGGGAGCGGAAGGCGUAGUUGCGGUUGCCGCACCCCCCACAGUCCCAGUCCCCCUCCCGCCCCAACCCUCCCUCCCCCGCCAUCUCCACCUCCUCUGCACCCCUUCCCCCGCGGCCGAAGCGGACGAUGCCGCUUCUGCUUCCGCUUCUGCGAGAAGCGGCUUUUGUGCUUCUCGAUCAAACCCUAGGCUCUGAGAGAGAGAGAGAGAGAGAGAGAGAGAGAGAGAGAGAGAGAGGGAAGAGGGGGAGGAGAGGAGCCGUGGAGGGGCAAGGGGGAGAGAGAGAGAGAGAGAGAGAGAGAGAGGAACCCUUACAUGCAUAUAAAGCAACCGCAGGUGGAGGGGAGGGAACUAUUCGGGAAGUAUAUUCUCGCUCGGGCUUUGUCGGAUACGGUUGUGGGAGAAGAGAGAGAGAGAGAGAGAGAGGUGUGAUUACUCGCGGAGGGAGUUUAAAGAGACAACUACAGCUAAAUGGUUCCACCCAGCCUAUAAAUAAAUAAGUAAAUUUUCCCAAAAAUCAAACUAAUAAAUAUUUUUAUUAAUUUUAUUUAAAAUAAUAUGAAAAAAAAUAAAUUUAGUGAUAAUCACGUCAAGUGGAAUCUAAUUGUACAAAUAUCAAGUUUUGUUGUAUUGGUUUUACAUUGUCUUUCUUUUAUCACUCUUAUACAUAACUGAGUGAUUGUUACUUUAUAAAAAAGAAAAGUUGAAUAACUAAUUUGGCUAAAACUGAUAAAGUUGAAAAUAGUUGUAAUCAACAAAAAUUCCAUACUUCAUAAAACAUUCACCAGCAAUUCAAUAACAAAAGCAUUAACAUAAAACACUGAAAAUACCCAAAAAAAGGGAAAAAAAUGUCUGGUAUUAUUUACAAUUUUAUUAUUUUUAAGAUAACAAAAGUAAAAACAUGGCAAGUAACUCAUUUGACAAGUACUCAAACUAUGUUUAAUAAUAAUCUUCAUAGUUUUCUUAUAUUUUGCUACCCAACUGAGGCCCAGUGGGCUCCGAACGAUUGCAAAUUAUGGCCCAAAAUCUCAAAUCAAGGCCCAAAGCCUACUCACCGGGCCGGGCUCGAUAUAACAGGAGUAGACACAUUUAAUCAACAACAAAUUAAGCUGUGAUUUCACACAAAUAAUAAUAAUAGUAGAUAGUAGAUAAAGUUGAUUUGAAAAAAUAAAGUAAAAUAAAACUCAAUCAGAAAUAUAACAGCAUCUAAUCUGAACUUUAAUUAUGCUAUGCUAAUCUUACAUGCAAAAUUACAGGAAUGUAACUGAAAUUAAAUGGAGAGAAACUUUUACUAUAAUUAUCAAAAAUUAUAGUAAAAGUUUCCACCCAAUUAAUAAGUGAUAGUGGAUCAGAAAGUUGGCGUGAGUGAGAUGCAAUUAAACAAUAUCUUAAAAGAAAAGAAUUAAGAUUUUUUUUUCUUGAAAAAAACUUGUAGAAUAUUAAACUAAUUAUAUGUCAUAUAGAAAAGGUCGUGCAUGCGUGUGCCUCUAUCCAUAAUGCAAACAUUUUACUAUAAUGAAUACUUAUUGUAAUUAUAAUUAAUUCUCUCAGCCAACGAUCUCUCUGAAACUUAAAGUUGAAGGGAUCGAUAAAUGUAUGAUCGAUAUGAAUAAGUAAAUUAUUAUUGAAAGCGACGAGAUAUAUUAAAGUUAGAUUCAAAUUGUCAAUAGCAAAGAUACAAAAUAUGCCUUAGCUAAUUAAGAGACUUAACUAAAGAAAAAAAGAAAAAAAAUAUUAAACCACAGUAUGGCCCACUCACUGCAUUUGUUGUAGCAGGUUCAUCACCAACUAAUUAGUUAGCUCACUAUCACCUCACCCAAUAAAAAAAAAUAGAAACCAAAUGCAAAAAAACUAAUAGUAAAUAAUAAAUAAAUGAAUAGUGGGAUUUUGGCAUGCAAAAAAAAAAAAAAAAAAUACGAUGUUGAGAUUCUAAUAUAAAAUUUUAGAUUAGAGACAUAUAAUUUAUCAAACUAUAUUAAUAGAAAAAUUAUUAUUAAGGAACUCUUCAAUAAAAUUGAGCUUAAUUUUUUUUUUUUUUUUCUGAACGUUGUUGCCACGUCAGGAUACAGCAAAGGGGAAGGGCGGAGACAAAUAUCCGAUAUCCGUACAAUGAUUCGUUCCAGGGGGCCGGGUGGUACUCCGUGUAACCGUCACAUAUCACAUCUAUUCGCCACGUAUGAUAAUUUCGCAUGGACCCGGUCCACCACGUCAGCCAAGAUCUGUUAAAUUUUUUUUAAUAAAAAAAAGGGUUCUUCGUAGAAACUUGUUAUUGGAACGGAUUAUUAUCAUAGUUAGUUAAAGAUAUGUACCGUGAUUUGUCAUCUGUUCCAUUUUGCUUUCAAAAAAGUACAACUUUUUUUUUAAAAAAAUUAUAUGCGUUANAUAUAUAUAUAUAUAUAUAUAUAUAUAUAUAUAUAUAUAUAUAUAUAUAUAUAGUAAAAGCUAGUUUAAAUAAAUAUACAAGGAACUAAAAAUAAGCAAAAGCAAUAUAAAAAAAAAGAGUUAAUUGCAUAUAGAUUUCUGUAAAUGCAGAAAUUAUAAAUAUAGUCGUACAAAGUUUAAUUUUUAUAUGUUAUUCCUAUAAAAGUGCUGAUAUUUUCGAAUAUUUCAAUGCCUUUAGAAUAUGUUGAAAAAAUUUACUUAAUCAUAGAUUAGUACUUUAAUCAUGUUUAGUUAAUAAGAUAAAAAAUAUAUUUGUAAUGGAAAAAAAGUCAUUUUAUCAGAGGAAUAUAUUUGAAAAUGUUAGAACUUUUGUAGAAAUAUAUAAUUUAAUUUAUUAUAUUUAUAGGAAUAUAUUUAUAAUUUAUUAUAUUCGUAGAAAUCUAUAUAAAAUUAACCUAAAAAAAUCUAAAUAGUAAUUUAUAAUAAAAGCCAUUUUUUUUUUUGUGAAAUAAAUUUUUUUAUUAAUUAAACUUUUAUUAUUAUUCCCGAGUGCGACGUGCCGUGAAAAAUAUUUAAUUCAAAUAAAAAACAGGUGGGAGAAAGAAAAAUAAAAAUAAAAAUUAAAGAAUAAUAAUAAUUCUAAUUCAAAUGAAGAGGCUGUUUCAGUGGUUAGAGGAGAGAGAAAGAGAAGAGAGAGAGAGAGAGGGUGGGGGCGAGGCUCCGCUCAUCUCUCACCUCACCCCAUUCCCAAUUCUCUCUCUCUCCUCUUUCUCUCUCCUCUCUCCUCUCUCCUCUCUCUCUCUAGAGGGACCCCUUCGUCUCCUCUCUCUCUCUCUUCUUCUUCUUCUACUUUCUCGCUCUUAGUAUAUAUCUAUCUAUAUGUAUAGCAACUAACGAACUCAAAGGGGGGGUGGGGGGGAGAUGACCUAGAUUUUCGAAGGUUUCAAGUUUCCGUUAUCUCUCCUCCUCUCUCUCUCUGCUCAAAAUCGAUCAUCAAAAUCUAUCAUUAAAAGAAGAAUUUUCGGUAAUUUUCUCGACCUUUUAUGUGUUUUUUUGUUUGGAUUUUUUGUUUUUAGGUGAUAAUUGUUUGUAUUGGACGGGGAAGUGUGGUUCGUGUGCAAUGUGGCGAUCUCUGGGGCUAAUUCUUGUAUAAGAUGCUGAGUUUCUGAAAAUAUUAAUUUUCUUGUGCUUUCCCUAAUUUUCCGGCUGAUGUUGACCUUAUUAGCAUUUAUUUCAUUUUUUUACUUUGGUAAAAAUUUGUUUUUUUUGUUUGGGUGGGGGGCGCUGCAAAUAUUUGUUGAUCAGGUAAUUUGUGCAAUAUCUCCGAAGCAUUUGUUUUAAAUUUGGUAAAAGAGAAUAGAUGAAAAUGUGUAGGGAUUUUUGAACCCAUAAAUGUUGAUUGGUACCAUUCAAUCCUUAACAUUCGAUUCUUAUGACUUAAGUUACUCUAAAAUCAAUUAAAUUGGCGAUUUUGUUAAAUUUAACCAUUGUAAACGAUUUUUGGUUGGUGGAAUUGCAAUUUGUUAACUUUUAUUUGCAGUAAAAUCUCUCCCCUGAUCGAGAUAUCCUCUGUUUCUCCAAUCAAAAAAAAAAAUGGAGGGUCUCUUUCAAUAUGGCCUAUAAUUAAGGUGGUCUCCAUAAAUUUGAUCCCCAACAAAAAAAAAAAAAAAAUCAUUUUACUUCAUAAAGUUUAUUUAGAAAAUUCUUAUUACCCGUUCCUUCUACUUGCACAAAAAACAAUAUAUUUUUCCAAUAUAUGAGGCUUACAUUUCUUUUGGUCAUUAGGUUUAUUUAUUGUAUUACGGCUGAAUGAGUAAUUCAAUUUGUUAUCUGCUGUAGAUUGGUUGAGAUGAUGGGGAGUUUCCUUUCAAGGGCCCUUCUGUAAGCAAAUUCUAAGAUGAACUAAUUCUCUUUUUAUUGCUAUUUAUUUAGUUUUAUAGACACAAGUAAUGAAUUAGGGCUUCUUCGAUUACUCUUCACACAUAAGAGAGCCUAAAUAAGAUUUAAACAAGCUUUCUAAUUUCCAGGUUGGCCUUUGGUUACGCUUAUCCGGCCUACCAAUGCUACAAAACAGUCGAGUUGAACAAGCCCGAGAUUCAACAGCUCAUUUUUUGGUGUCAGUAUUGGUAUGCUCUUACAGUUCCCUGGAAAUCAUUUUAAACCUUUCUUACUUGACGCUUAGAUUCCAAAUGAUAUUUCUUUUGGUUCUGUCCAUUCUUUAGGAUUUUAGUUGCUUUAUUGACCGUUUUGGAGCGAUUCACCGAUGCUUUUGUCUCAUGGUAUGUCUGAUUAGUGGCCCAAAGAUGGUUCUCUUUCUUUUCUCUCAUCCUGCAUUUUUUUCUUUUUCCAAUUUGUUCACAGCUUUGUAUAUUUAUUUACCUGCCUGCAGGUUACCAAUGUAUAAUGAAGCAAAGCUGGCAUUUUUUAUAUACUUAUGGUAUCCUAAAACAAUGGUACUUUAUUUCUCUUUGGUUUUAUACAGAGUAUCUUUUUUUUUAAAGUCAAGAUUUGGUUUUUAUGAUUGAUUAUGUUUGCAACAGGGAACAACGUACAUCUAUGAAACCUUCUUCAGGCCAUAUAUUUCGCGGCAUGAGAAUGAUAUUGAUCGCAACUUGCUUGAGCUAAGAGCUAGAGCAUGUGAUGUGGUUGUGCUCUAUUGGCAAAAGGCUACUAGCUAUGGCCAAACUACCUUUUUCGAUGUGUUACAGUAUGUUGCUUUACAGUCUUCUUCGCUGACCUCAAGAUCGGGAUCCGCUCAGGUACUAAUUGAGCAUCAAUACUUCUUCUCUUUGCACUUUUCGCCUUUUGUGUAUAUGUUACUUGUUCAUCAUGUUAAAGCCUCUUCCUCUUCUUCUUUACUGCUGCUGCUUGUUGUUAGUUCUGAAUGCUAUCUUUGCGCAUGCCACUAGUGACUUAUAGAGGGGCAGUUUUAUUUUAGUUGUAUUAUUUAACCUUACAUCUUGGUUGAGUCCAAAUUAUAUCCUCCUUGGAUAGUCUUUGAACAUCUUUAGAAGCGGUAUUAAUAAAAUUACUGUCCGUGCGAGCAUUAAAGGACACAAAAUGAUAUUAUUUCUUCGUCCUGAAUUUUAAGGCUCAUUUUUUGGUUCUGAUUUCACAUGAAUACUAGGCUUUUGGUUGUUUCGCUAUAUUUGUUAUUUUUUGGUUCUAUUUCUUGAAGCCUAUCAAGUUACUAGCACUAGGUGGGCUAGUCAGGUAUUAUAGUGACUACCAAGUAGACACAGCAGCACGUCUGUCUUUCCUUCAGAUGAAUACUUUCUGGAAAUCCACUAUUAUUUUCAUAGAUAUAUUGUUUCAUGAUCACAGAGCUUGAGGAAUGUAAAAAUGUUAUUUUGGUAGCAAGAUGGUAUGAGCUCAAUACUAUGCUAGGUUUAUUUCAAAAAUAAAUAACCAUAAAUCCUAUUUAAGUGAUGUUUACUAUAUAAUCUAGUUACAGUUAAUAUUUUUUAAAAGAUACUCGGAACUUGAUGAAACAACUCAUUUUCACACCCUUGGCAAUGUCAGCAAAAGGAACAGCAGUACCGGAGAGCAGUAUCAUUGCCAUCCAGUCAGCCCCCAGCACCGGCUUCCCAGCCGGCGGAAGAGCCCACAACAACCACCGCUUCCAACCCUAGGCUGAUCCGGCGGCUGGAGCCCUUUAAAGCAAAACCAAUUACACAUCCCGCUCAGCCACAAGAACCUGCAGCAGCUGCUGACCCACCAGCCGAUCCUGCUGCUGAACCUCCCACUUCAAAAAGCGUUUCCGAUCUCCCCAGCAUCGAAGCCACCACUACUAGCCAACCCAUAGAUGAAGCUGAAGCAGACGAGGAAAUGCCAGUCGACGAGGAGGCCGAAGCCGAGGGCAAAGAAGAUGGCAAAAGUCCGGAGACGCCGAUAGAGGAGACCAUCCGCACGACUCGUUAUAGGUUGAGAAAGCGAGUUGCCACCACCGCCAUUCCUUCGGCCGGUAAUUAGCUUCUGUGUUCUUUCGUUUGCAGGGCCUCUGCUGUUUUCAUUCUCCGGAGCUUGUUUGACUACGAGUGAAUUUGUGUUAUUCAUCAGUGCCGAUGAUGCCAGGGAGAAAUGCAAAGGAUUUUAUGAGAGCUUCUUUCCUUUUUAAUUGAGUAUAUAUACAUCAAAUAAGGUUUGAUGAAUGGUAAUAAGGAAUUCUUUGUAAAAUUGUUUAAAUAUAAUUUUUCCUUGGCAUUAGCACUUGCGUUGCUUGGAGAAAAGAAAUGUUGGUUGCUUGGUUUGUUUAGACUCCGGAGUUGAAUUUUUCCCUCAUUCGUAACGCAUGUAAAUAAAUAGAAGGAUGUUAUGUUCAUAUUUUAGGAAAAUAAGUAUGUUUCUUUAUUGAUAAUAUUGGUAGGCGAUUGGUGCAUAUUCUCCGACUUUAAUUCUCACGUAAUCCUUUUAACUUUUGAGGUUCUAAGUGAUUUUUUUUUUUCUCCCAAUGAGAGAAAGAAGUGAAACGGGGACCAGGCUAAGCAGUGAUUGUUCUACCUAAGACGACAUAUAUGAGGCGCUGAAUUGCCAACUUCUAAGACGGUAAUAUAGAUAAUUUUCUGAGGAUAAUAAAUACAAUUGGCGAUCGACAAACACUUAUUUCCGAGAAAUAAUCUCCACGGAAAGACACAAAAACCCAAGUUGUUGAAAUAGUACAUUAAGCCCGAAAUUAACUCCAGACCAUGAUUGAUGAGACUGUGGCAGUGUGGGUCAAGCAACGGAGUUAACAUACAUUCCUUAAUAAACGAAUAACUUAGAAAAGGAAAAAAAAAAAAAAAAAAAAAGGAAACAAAUGAAAAAAUGACUACUUUCACACUCAUCUACAAUCACCAACAGAGGUCAGAAACGUAAUUGUAAUAUGCAUAGAAAACCCUCACCUAGCAUAAGGGACUUAAAUCAAUGGUUUCAUCCGCUUCAGAACAAUUUGGUGACUCCCUAAUUAAAGAUAAUAAAGAGUUUGAUGAUGAUGAUAAUGAAAAAAAUAAAUAAGAAACAAAAAGGGAAUGAAAGAACAAUAUCCAAUGCAACUCUGAAUACUAGAAUCUAUAAAGAAACUAUUGAUAAAAUGGAAGCAUUUACACAAGAAAAACAAAUGUUAAAAGAAUUCACAACCCAAUAAUUGAAAACUAUAGAACUAAUAAAAGAGACAAUGAAUUUAGAAACUAUUUUAGGGGGUUAAGGAUUGAUGAAUAAACCCCAGCCCCGAUGCCUUCUUCCUUUUUAACUCUGCAGCCACCUUCUGUGCUCUGUACACCCCUUUGUCAUCUGCACGAGGACGGCAGCUACAAGUAAACACUAAAAGGCUCCCACUGUUAAUCCUAUCUAUUUUUGGUGUAGGUUGCUAUCUAUGACACUGUUGAUAGUAGAUGAUUCCGAUCCUUUAAUGCCAAACUGAAAUAGUUUGUCGUUAAGGAACUAAAAUGGUGCUUAUAUUUACUUACUUCCAAACAAGUAAAUUAAUUACAUCAGCAAUACCUAUCAAAAAUUUCAACAGAAAUUACACAUCAGUAGACAUCGGUAAUACCUAUCAAAAGUCCAACAGAAUUUACACAUCAGUAGAUAAAGUACUUUAACUCGGAUUAAUGAUGAAGUUGUCUGCAAAAAUAUGAAAAAGAACCAUGCAUGCUGCCAAUCAUUAAUACAAAGACUAAGGUAGAAAGUUACAGCGAGGGUGAAAUUGAGAAUAAAAGUUGUCAGUUCAAAGUUUAUGUGUUAAAAACUAAAUGGAACCAGGUUUAAUGUAUCAAAAAAGACCUAAUUGAACGAACAUUUCUCUAAGAACUCGCAAUUGGUUCAACUAUCCAAAAUCUAGCAAACUUCCUAUGUACGGUGAUUCUAACAUCUUUUUUUAGUUUGAGCUCCAAUUAGGCUUGAAACUUGCACUAUACAAAGUCUACUUAAAAUAAGAGAAACAUUGUUUGCUAUUCGGAUUAGGCAAGAUAUGAACGUAUUUUCGUACAACCAGCAUUACAAAAGAAACAAAAGAAAUGAACCAGAAAAAAUUGGGAGUGGAUACUUUCUAGCACAAUAACUAGUAUAUCCCCAAAAUGGUAUAUGAUUCUGUCAUUUAUAAUCUAAAUGCAUGUUAAUUAUGUUAAUGAGAAAGAUAUGCAUGUUUGAUGUCAUACAUUUCUAGCUUGUUUUUCUUAGUUUCCUAUGAUAACAGAAGAAACCAAUAAGAGAGAGAGAGAGAGAGAGUAAAGGAUACAUUUAAGUUUCCCAAAUAUCCGUCUCCCUGUAACUGAUGUCUGAUUGGAGCCAGUAAUCAGAACCAGUCUGCAGCAAAUUAGGAGACAAGUAUACAUUAAACAAUAGUAACCUUACGCAUCAGAAACAACUUACCAGAUUUCUCUGCUGUAGAAACUUACAUCAGCAUUUGAAGGGACAAUUUGGACAAUCCCAUUGGAACACUCUUGUGAGGCAGCUGAAUCCGAAGAACUCUGGUGCAUGGCUGGGUCUUGUCGGCCCUCUCCGAAUGUCCUGCUUGAUGUAGCAUUCUCAUGGCUACGAUUCGAGGCAUCAUUUUUCUCUUCAUCAUUACUGCAAGCAAAAUAAGGGCCUCGAUUAGAAUGAGUGCCUGUUUUGACUUCGCUUGUGUAACAACUUCUCCACUCCAUAAAACGGAGGCUUCAAUAAACUUGGCAUUUGGCUAAUACAUCUAGAGCUUUUGCUGUGACAAAAAACUAAAAUGAGCUUUUAGGUCCAAUAUGCAGAAAAUUCAAUUUUAAUAGAAAAGAAGUAAGUGAUUUUUCAAGCAACUCUACUUAAACGUUACCUAAUUUAACAGGCCCUCGGCACUUAAGAGAAUGUGUCCCAAGUUCUUAUAAUGGCUAAAAAAGCAUAAUUUACCUGAUUAGAUAGCAUCUGAUGGGCCCAAGUGAGCUUCUCAAGACCAUUCGAUAAUGGUUUGGCGGAAAAUCAGCACCCUAUUGUAGAAAAAGAUUGUCAGUACAUAUCCUAGCGCAUAGGUGAAUAAACUCAUUAGCAAGCUCACCUUCCCCCCCUCACAAGGAUCAGGAACUUCAAUCGAAGUUCCAUGAGGAGCAUUUAUUGCAAUAACAAUAUCAUCCUGCACGCACAGGAAACUAAUGUAACAUCUAGGAAAGUAAACUAUAGAAUUGCACGAGGGAUACUAAACUUCUUAAGAGUUCACAAUUUGGUCGCCAAGCUUCCAAUUGUUACAAUUGGGAUCCUAAUGUAUCCAUUCCACAGCAACCUUAUGCUUUUCAUUAGAUUCCUCAGUUAAACUAGAUAAAAAUGCCUACUUAAACGUCAUAUCCAAAAGGUAGCUACAUGAUAGUUAGAAGCUGACAAUUACAUAAACAAUUUUGAUUAUUUUAUUAGAGUAAUAUACCGAAAAGGUAAUAUUGCAAUUAAGUGUGAUAGUUAGGCCCCAGUUGUAACGACUGAAAAGUUUGAGUGCCAAAUCUAAACUAAGCAAAAAGAUUGAACACCCUUGAUGCCAUUGACCAAAAAUAGAAGCUAAUUGACUGGCUUCGAAAAAGCAGACAAUAACAAACCUGAAACUCUGGAAUACUUUUAAUAUCUUCCUUAGUCAGAUAGAGCCAUCUAUACAGAUUGCCAGCUAUUAAAUUCCCAUUAAAGAAGUUAAAACCAAAAUAAAAACAGAAUGGCAAGAUCAAAUAAAUUUACUUUCUACUGUUCUCUUCUUCAGUCAAGCGACAAAGAUUCUCUUGCAUGUCUCUGAAAACAACAAACAAAUGUUAAUUAAGCAAAAGAAAGAAACAAAGCAUUGUUCACUCCUAAGAACGCACCUUAUCAUGUCAUCCAGCCUGUGCUCUUCAUUACAGAGAGUUGCGACUUGAGCCUACAAAAUAGAUCAAUCCCAAAAGAUAAAUGAAAAAUAGUUCAAUCGUAAAAGAAAAGAAAAUAGUGAUAACAAUAAUGAAAGGUAAAAUGUCAAAACCAUCUUCCUGCUUAUAUACGCUGGAUUUGCUGAUGAAUUCAUAAAACAAGUAAUUUCUCAAAGUGGCUUAGAUUACUAAGUUCAAACUAGCAUCACUAAUAGAGUAAUAUGCAUUUCUAGGUAACAUUACUGACAAUGUCCAUAAAAGAUAUAACAACAAUAGAGGCAAAUCAUGCUAUGUGCGAAUACCUAUCCAUGGCCAGUUAGACAGAUUUUCAAUUGCUAGGUUGAUUCUAAAAAGUACAUAUAUUUUGGAGAAAUUAAGUAACAAUGAUACCAAAAAAGUAAGCAACAACUGAUAGAAAUCUUUCUUUUUUUGUACUGCUUCAUUCAUUAGGAAACUAAUAGAAAUCUUAAUACCAAAAAAGGAUGUAAACAUUGGCACCAUCCUAGAUCUCUCUUUUUCCCCAAAAUGUUGAAUCACUAAAGACAAAAUAGUCGUCAAACUAAAAAAAAAAAUGGUCGUCGAAGUUUCACCGGCUAGCCAAAACUAUGUUAAAAAUGAACAGAUAAUUAGUUAGUAAGUGGUCGUGGUAGGGUGGGAGGUCAUUGUAGUCAUAGCGAUGUUAGCAGCAAGGCAAACAGUGUUGGCGGCACAGUAAGGCAACAAUAAUUGAUGGUGGUGUUGCUGAAGCAGAGUGACAGCACCAACGGCAAAUGUAGUAAUGGCAGUAGAUGAGGAAAGACAUAAUAGGUGGUGGAUUAGGUGGAGCUACAAUGCUACAUGUAACCUUGUUCAUUUGUUUUCAAGUUUCGCACAACCUCCAAAACCAAACUGAAAAUCAGAUGUUCAAAUUGAUACAGAUAAAAACUGGAUCUAACACCAAUUCGAAAAUGAAACACUUAGUUUGUGCUUAGAAUAGGUCUUACUUUAGAGGAUUGGCUUAUAUUGACGGAACUAGCUAAUAGUGUAAAAUUGUUCAUCUGUGAAUCAUUUUUAGGCUAAAAUACAGAAAACCCCCUAUAAAUAUUCAUUUUCUGCAAAGCCACCGAAAUUGUCAAAAUUGAAACUCUAGAAGCAUACAAGCCAAGAUCUACCAUUCUACCUAGAAAUUGCAAUGGACUUCCAACUCUCAGGAGACGAACACUUUUGAGAUAUUUGAUUACCCAUAGAAUGUGAAUAAGAAUGGGAAUUCCUUAGACCAUACAACAAUAGAAACCACUCAUCACUACUCUCAUCCCAUGAUCGGAGACCCCCUAGCCAAUCACACCAAAAGAUGAGAUGACGAAAAGGAAGUUUGGCAGCGAAAUAAUAACCGAGUUUGUAUCAUGAUUAUUAAUUCUAUGCCGGCAUUAAUGGAAUAAGUACAAAGACAUUUAGACGUGCAAAUUGAUGACCAUUUCAUAUAAUCUCAUUGGUUGAUGUCAUAACUUAUAACUAUCAAUGUCUUGGUAAUCACUUGUUUGGCCGCCUUGUUGACUGAAUUUAGAGAAGUUUCAUUCACAAAAACAUGCAUCUCUUGGGUCAUCCAUAUCUCUUCGCUAGCUUGGCACUUGUUUCCUCCGUUGAAGCCUCGACCACCGGGAAUGCCUGACAUCCGUCCAUAAGAUCUCAACAUUGAGUAGGUGGAGGCAAAGUCGUGAGCUUCGGCCAUACAAAAGCUUGUGACCUCAUCUCAUAGUCCAUACCGGGUGCAACACGCUGCAACGAUUUACCGGUACGAUGGUGUUUCAGCCAUACAUUGGAUCUCGAUCAGUAGCACCACUUACAUCAGGUUCGCUAAGUUUACGCUUCGAAUUCGGUCCUACCAAACACGUCCUUGCGAGUUCGGCCUUUCCAAUCAUACAUUUGGUUUCUUGACAUGGUCACAAGAAUACAUUCAUCUAGGCACAAGAAAAAUUAAUGAUGGCGUUUCGUUAAGAAGAGCGAAAAAAUUACUAAAGUCACAGCAAUUAAUGAAGGUCCGACACUCCCCCAGGCUUCUAUAAGAAUAUGGAAUCUAUAGAUCUUACGUAGGAGGAACGAAAGAGCUUGAAGGCACUAUCUUGGGGAUGAUGUAUAUGCACUAGAGGCAUGACCCAAAAAUCAAGAACUUCAUUGUUCCAAAAAGUGGCUAUUGUAGUCAAUACACAAUCACAUGCACUUACAUAUACGGUUGAUACGCCAAUACAGUCUUUCAAUUGCUCUGCAAGUGUUGCCUUUGCACAGAGCCUCAAUGACAUGCAGUUUAAUACACUAGCAACCCAUCAAUAAUGUAUCAAUUUUAAUUGCGUUGAACUAAAUAAUUUAAAGUUAAGAUUGUUAGUCCUACAACUAACCAGAAAUAAAACAGACUAAUAAGAUGUAUCUAGUAGUGAAUUGCUUGAUGUGAGACCGUAGAAACACAGAAUAUCCUAUUCUCUUGAGUAUAUGCGUCGACAAAAACUAUUUUAAUAAGAGAAACCAAUAUAGAAGGAAAGAAAUUAAAAGAAGAAUGUGAAUAAGCCAUUCAUUAAAUCAAAUAUAAUAUUCCAAUUUGUAAGCUAGUGGAGUAAUACUUCCAACUUUUUGAUAGAUUAAAAAGUUGAAAUUUGAUUACUUAAAAUCAUUUGCUCCAUAGAUAAUCACAUGCGGUCAAUCUGCAACCAAGCUCAUUUCAACACUUACUUAAUAAGAAAGCAACUUUGAGAAUUCAUUUAGAUUUGGAACUAUGAGCUCUAUCAUCUUCUAAAAUUAUUUAAUAUUAGAACAAAUUUCGGAUAUAUGCCAUAGAUUAGUGACAACGAAAUUACUAUAGCAAUGGGAACAACUAAAUAGCAAGUAAAUUACAUUAAACAACAACAGAAAAUUUCCGGCAUGGACUUAAAAUUUAAUGACUGUGCGCAUUAAAAUCUUAAUACGAAUAUGCUAGAAGACUAUGCUAAUUACUUCAUGCCAAAAGAAACACGACUACAAGCAAAUUCCUUCCAUUCAGAUGCAUUAGAUAUUAGACUGAAAGUAUUCAAAAAUGCAUACUGCACCUUUAAUACAGUAUUUUGAUCAUACAACUCCUUUGGCCUUAGCAUGUCAAGUCCCCUAUUCACAAAAUAUUUGUAAGAAACUAAAGUAUUCGAACAUAAUCAAGAAGAGGAUAGUAAAAAGUGACAGGGCAAUUACUUCCGAGAGACUGUAUUCUUCAACGAUUUCUCUAUCAAUCCUACUCCUUCAAGAACAUUUGUUAUAUCAUAAAUCCUCCUCUUCUGGACCUGUCAAAGCAAUAGACAAUUAGCAAGUGAAUGCCUUCAUAAAACUCAACACAAAUGCAUAGUGGCUAUUGGCCAAACAUAAAAGGAGCUUUUCCGCAUAUAUACCUGCAAAAUCAUUUAUCAAUGUAUCCUAGCAAAAUCCGAAUUGUCAUGUAAACCCUUCAAUAUGCAAUUUCUCAUAAAAGCGCCCUCAUAUUAACUCAAGGAUUCAUCCAACACAGGAGGUAAGUUAAUAUAUUGCAGAACAACUGAAACUUUACCUUCAAAACAUCCGCUACUCUAUUCAAGUCAAGAAAUCCAUCCUCUGAUUGGUGAAGCAGAGUAAUAAACCUUUUGGUCAACAAGCCUGUCAAGCAAUAACAAGUAUCUCUAAACACCAAGGUUGCAGCAAAAAGACAAAAGAUUAACUAAAUAAUCAAUGACAAAAUUCCACAAUUGAGUCAAUAGAAGCUUUACCUAAAGAACAUUCAUAUCGGCAAUUGUUAGGUGACCGCACUUCAUUUGCAGCAACGCCUGAAAAUAGGAAUACUUGUCAUCGUGACCUUAUGUUAUCCAAAUGACUAUCAAACUAGCAUAUUUAACCUCUUGUCUAAGUAGGUGCCUAAUUGGUGAGCGUAGUCCUAGAUCCAUAAAUGUUACCUUCUAAUGGUCCAUGAGUGUCUGGCACAAAACUUUGAUGUUCUAAAGGUUUUGGCUCCCCUUGAAACAUUGCUUCUGGGCCAGUUGAAAGUACAUUAAAGGUAGCUUCCUCUUCAUGCCUUUCAACCUCUAAGUAACCAGUCUCAACUUUGAUUUUUCCUGCUCCUUUUAUCUGAAAAGUAGCCAGAUUUUAGCAACAACAGAAUUGAUAUGAAGAACUCAGCAUUACAAAUACACCAUUAGAAGAUUAUUGCAAAUUAAAAAUACUAUUCUACGGGCAGUAACCAAGAGCAGUAUGUAUAGAACCAAAAUAUAAGCAAGCGGCCAAACGAAAAAGUAAAGCAUAUAAUAAAUUUGCUUUGGAGAAGAAACAAGGAUUUAUGACAACAAUAAAUUAGAUACAUGAUGCAUUGCUUGGCAACAAAGCAGCACUUAGUGUAACAUGAUAAUUAGCUCAUAAUGAAUGCUACAAACUAUUGUUGAAGUCAUCAAGCGCCAAAUUAUAAGCAUAUAUCAUCAAGGUUGAUAUCUCAACUAUAAAGAACUUCUUCUGUAAAUCCUCACAUAAAAAAUUCAAAAAAUGCCAAUGCUGCAUUAGUGGCACUGUGGCGGCACAUAGAUUCACACUAAGAUGCCAUAUGGGAUCCCUUUAUGCAGAUAGGUCACAGAUACCUUGUCCGCAUUUUGGUACAUGUGGAUCCCUCCAUGCAAAAAGAGAUUAAACGACAACCAUAGAGAUAACGAACCUAGUCAGGAACCAAAAGGACAAUAUAAGGAAGGAUGGAAUUGGAAAGGCGAAUUUGGCAUGCUCACUCAUAAAUCAAGUACGAGUGCAUGCUGCUAUGCAGGAAAAUGUCUUAUUCUCCUGCUAUUGAAUUUCUGCUGACACAUUUUUAGGAGACAUUAAAACACAUUAUUUGAGUACACUUCGAAUUUGCAUUUUCUUAUACCAACUGGUUUUGGAUUUUAUUAUUGUUGAAAAUAUAUUGAUUUUAUCAAAUUUAGGUGGACAUUUAGGCAAAAUCCAAUAGUUUAAGCUCACAUUUGCUGUGAAUUGACUUUGGAGAGUGAUCUAAAAGAUCCGCCAUCUUCAAGAUGCCUUCCACGACUUUAUGCAAAUCCCUAAUUACAACACUGAAUGAUCUCCAAUUAUUCAAGACUAAUCAAAUCCAACCUCAAUCAAACAUGAAACUAAAUCUCAAUGGAUUCAAUUCCACUUAAUUCCAGCAGAUCAAUUAGCUUCCAGUCCAGCUCGCUUGAAUUCCCAAAACUAAACAAAUCCAUCCAAUCAUAUCUAUUGACUCAAGUGUAACAAGCCUAUAAACUAUAAAAUCCCAAUUCAAGAGCUCGUGUAGCCACUCGCCAUCAAAAUUCCAGCACCACCUUUGAUCACCAUCCCGACCUAUUUUCCCAAAAAAACAAAUUAAUCGGGAAAAUAGGCCCAAAAAGUAAUCAAGAAGAUCCACGAAAAAAAACAAAGACAUUGUAACACAAGAACCGAAUUGGAACCAACAAGAAGGGCAAUGGAGGGGAAGCAACUUCCACUCACGGGGGUCUCGGGAGGAGGCCGCGGAGGAAACCUAUCGUCUUCGUCCUCCCCGGCGGCGGCAGUGGCGGCGGCGGCGGGGAAGAGCGGGAAGUGGCGGUUGGCCGCGGCGGGUCGCGGGAUGGGGCACGGCGACGGCGAUCGGAGGUGGAGAUGCGGCCCCGCCAUGGGAGUAGAGGAAGAGAGAGAGGAGGGGAGAGAGGGGUAGGGUUUUGAAGGGGAGAGAAAGAGGGAAAAAUGGAGAGAUACGGAGAGAGAGAGAGAGAGAGAGAGAGAGAGAGAGAGAGAGAGAGGGCGAGGGCGGGGGAGGUAGGGAGAGGGAAAAUAGAGGGCGUUUGGUUUGGCUUGAGAUACGACUUUGGGCUUUAUAAACGGACGGCUAGAGAUGGGCUCCGCUUCUGUUUUUCUUACGUCGGAAAGCCAUGGUAAUAUUCCGCGCACCAGGUGUAUCCCUCCGGCUCAUGCAUCACAUCUUUUGUCCGCCUCCAUGGAAGGAUUUUAGAGGCGUGGUGUAUAACAGUACCUCAACACCGGGUGCAGGGAGUAAGAUGAUGCGGGGGUAAAUAAUUAAGUUCGAAUCCGCACGCGCGCCCCGCCCUUUUACGCUGCGUGUGUGAGUGGGGGUUGGGGUGGGGUGUGGUGUGGUGGGUCACGUGAGCGGCGAGGGCGCGUUUCACGUGCACGGUGCACCCUGCUCACCUGGUGCCCUUUUCGCCGGUUACGUUAUGCGCGUAUGCGUUAGUUUUGCGGGAAUAUUCGUCUGUGAGCCAAGUCCACCACGUCAGCAAUUGACAGGUCACCACAUUGACCACCUCUAUUCUCUAGCCAAAAGUGCUUUAAAAUUGUGACAGGCGCGUUACUAAUGUAGUAUCUCAAAUCAAUAAAAUUUAUUUUUUCAGAAAUCAUCAAUCUCAUUGUAUUUUUUUCAAAAAAAAAAAAAAUGAUUAGCUGAAUAUUACUAAUGUGAUGUAGUAUAAUUCUUUCCUGUAGCCUAUCUCAACUUUCGCUUGCAAGAGUUGGUUGAAUUCCCAUAGACUAUUGGGGGAAUUGGGUCGCCAUAUUUUAAGAGAAGUAAAUAUAGAAUAUUUCUAAAUAUUAACUAUACUAUUUACUUUUGCAUCAAAUAUAAAAAAAAUAAGACUAAAAUAUUCUAAAAAUAAAUAGCACUGGUUACUUUUUUAUCGUUUUUGGGGAUGGGUCAUUUAAAAUGAUAACUAACACUGUUAAAUAUAAUCUAUGUCUUACAAAUAUAUCAUAGGAUAUCAGUAGCAAUGAUUAAUUUGGUCAAUACAACAGAAUUAUAAAAAUACAGGAUACAAUAAACUGUUAUAUUUAAUCAAGAAACUGAUUUUGUUACUCACAUAAAAUAAAGCCAAUAAUUUGCCUUGCCAAUAAGAAAACCAAUUUUGGGAAAAUAUUAAUUCGCUUUUAUAUAACCACAAGGCUUGCAUUUAAUCCCAGGGCUUUUUUUGCAAAUAGCCCCCUGACAAAUUUUAUUUGCAAAAAUAGCCCCGUUCAAAAAUUAUUUGCAAAAAUGGCCCGCCCCUGCCACGCCAGCGCCACGUCAGCGCCACGCGGGCAGGACGGGCCCAGAUAUUUAAGUCGAACACAGUGAACCAUUCACCGUGUUCAAUACAAAAUUUUUGUAUUGGACACGGUGAAUGGUUCACCGUGUCCAAUACAAAUACCCCAACAAUGGCUAAGUUGGAGGUAUUUGUAUUAGACACGAUGAACCAUUCACCGUGUCCAAUUAUUUGUAUUGGACACGGUGAAUGGUUCACCGUGUCCAAUACAAAUAUUUCGAUCUUAGCUAUUUUGUAUUGGACACGGUGAAUCAUUUACCGUGUCCAAUACAAAAACUUUAUAUUGAACACGGUGAAUGGUUCACCGUGUUCAACUUAACCAUCUGGCUCAGCCCCGCCCGCGUGGCGCUGACGUGGCGCUUGCGCGGCGGGAUCAGGGCCAUUUUUGCAAAUAAAUUUUUGACAGGGCCAAAUUUUAAAAAAAUUUUGUAAGAGGGCUAUUUGCAAAAAAAGCCCUUUAAUCCCAUGAAUCAUAAGAUUGGGGCCCUGUGAAGCCCGGUUUGAACAAAGCUAACGCUCUUAGGCUUGGCCCAUUUUAUGUCCUGAGCCUUUCAAGAACUGUAUUUUAUAAAUUUUCACUUACGUCCAAAAUAGCGUAACUUUUUUAAUAAUUAUUUUUAAAUAAUAAUACUAAAUAAUUAUUAUACAUAUGAAUCUCAAUAUAUAAAUAUUAGUAUCCUUAUGUCUUUGCUCCUGACAAAUUAUAUUUUGGCUUUUUCACACUCAUAAUUAUUUAGACCGUAUUUAUGUAUACAGAUCUUACCCCGGACCCACACCAAAUUGGAACAAGUUGAUUUUAGAUAAUCAAUUUUCGAUAGCAGAAAUAGACCUGAGAUUGAAUUCUGCUUCAAAGUCAUUUUAUUUGAUCAUGAAUAGAUACACCACUGUUGCUCUACGGGGAUCAUAUCUCGUAAUAAUUCUUAAAAAAUAAAGGAAAAAAAGAAAAACCAUAGAAGGGUACGGCCAUGUUAAAUUUUAAACUCCAAAUGCUCCACAUCUUUUCCUUUGGAUCACAUUAAACUUAACAUCGACGAUUUUUCAAAUUCGGUGAGUCGAUUUGGAUCGAGGCUGUGGAUUUACAUUUCGAAACUCUAAUGAGAAGUCUUUGAGUGAAGAGUGUAAAUUUUUUAAAUGUAUUAAGUGUAAUGCAGAAAAUAUAUAUAUAUAUAUAUAUAUAUAUAUAUAUAUAUAAAUAUAUAUAUAUAUAUAUAGUGAGCUACUAUGCUAUCGGAAACACGGAGCCUUCGUGCUUCCAGCUCGUUUUCGAUGUUGCGAUUUUCAAAUCGUCGAUCGGCUCCGUUAAACUUGAUCUAGAGUAUUUGGAGUACCUAGAAAAUAAAUUUUAUUAUUUUUCGAUAUCAUCUAAGGGGCUCAAAAUCAACGGCUGAAAAUAAAAAUCUUAUAAAAUGUAAUAAUAUGACAUUAAAAUUUUAAAUCAAAGAUAUUGAUCUUGUUUUAUAUAGUAUAAAGAAUUUUCUAUCAAAAUUUCACGUGAUUUGGAUAUUUCUACACCGUUAAACUUGCAAACGGCUCACUACGACCAUUGAAAUUUGUUGAUUUUGAGCCCCUACGAUCACUAGGCAAAUGAUAUCGAAAAAUAAUGACAUUUAUUUUCUAGGUACUUCAAAUACUCUAGAUCAAGUUUAACGGAGCCGAUCAACGAUUCGAAAGUCGCAACAUCGAAAACGAGCUGGAAGCACGGAAGGCUCCGUGCUUCCGAUAGCAUAGUAGCCUCACUCUAUAUAUAUAUAUAUAUAUAUAUAUAUAGUGUUGAAAGAAAUUGUUAGAUAUCCUUAUUAUUAUUGAAAGUGGUGUUGAAGUAUUAAUUAGAGAGCACUAGAAAGUUUCACGGGAGUGUAAGAAUUUGGUGGCUGAUUAUAGAUGGAUUAGAUGUUAAUUAAUUAUGCGGCUAAUUGGUUAACUAAAUAUGAUGGAGCUAAUAAUGAGGAUAUAAUAUAAGAUAAUUUGGGGAGCAUGUUGUUGUACCCUACACUUGGAUAGGGACAUGGGUGAUUAAUGUUUUGUUCUCCUGCUGUGGGAGCUAAUGCCUAAUUAAUGGGCAGUGUUUUAAUUUUUUUUAAUGUUUUUUUUUUCGGACCUUUUUGUGAUCCGAAUGGUCGUUUUGAUCAAUGCAAGUAUGCUUAAAAAAAAAGUGUUAUGAAGCCGAGUGGGUUACGUGACCAAAUGCGAUAAGUGUAGUUGAUAGAAUAUGAUCACGGAGACAAGUGUAGCCAAACACAAAAAAAAAGGUGGCGUAAACAAACUCCACCCACUACAAACCAGCCACGUGUCCACUUACUAAAAGUUGCUUAAUAUACAAGUCAAAGGGCCAUUAGUCACUGCGUCAGGUCUAAAAGAUUAAAAUAAUAUAUGUUUUAUAUUUUAUAGUAAAAUUAUAAAAACAUAUUGUAAUAUAUAAAAUAUAAUAUUACAUACGAAAUAAACAAAAUAUUAUUUUUACCAUAUUGUUUCACCUAUUAAUAACGUAAAAUCUUUUAGAAUUCCAGAAAGUCCCAAUUAGUAUUUUUUUCUUUUACUAUUAUUAUUAUUAUUAUUAUUAUUAUUAUGUUCGUAUACAUACAUAUCCAAAGAGUAAAAAAAAGAACUCAAAUGUAAAUUCUUAACUCCACGUAAUGUGGGACCCACAUGUCAGUGACAAUAAUAUAUAGUUACGUGUAGCAGUAACAUUGGAGUUUUGACGGGUUAUAAAGCGAUACGCCGACGCUGCUGUGAAUUGUGAUGAGGUGGAAAAGGGCGUCCCGUGAAGCCGACCACGUCCACGUGUCGCGCGCCAAAUCCCGCGGGUGGCGCGUGGCGGGUGGCAGGUGCGCCUCUCUCUCUCUCCCUCCCUCUAACAUUUUCUUUUUUCUAACUUAAUUUCUCUCUCUAUCCUUUUCUCUCCUUUGGCUUUCUCUCUCUCCGUUUUAUUUAUUUAUUUUUUUUAUUUUUUACUUUAUCCUCUAGUCUUUUCUCCCUGGUACAUUCGCCCAUUCACACACACACACACCAAAAAAAUAGCUAAUAUAUAUAUAUUUUUUGAUAUAGAUAGCAUGCUAUUCGUUUCGUUUAUUUUAUUUAGAAAUAAACUUAGCUGGAAAUGUGAAUCAAUUAUGAUUCGAACUUGAAAUUUUGGACACCAACCACCAAGUCCUUUGUCGCUUACUCUAAAAACGGUUGGUAACUAACAUUACAUUAGAAAACCCUCAAAGUGGAGAAAUUUGUAAAUCACACUAUUUUGAUCGUAUAUAUACAGUUUUGUUUAUAAUUAGAUUUUUUUUUUGAGACACAAAUUUUAAAGUAUUGUAAAAAAAUCUAACAAUUAAAAUGAGAUCGACAGAUGUUGUGAAAUAUAUUAAGAGCACAAACAGUCUCCUGCUUAAUAGUUUAAAUCAGUCCAUAAAAUCAAUUAUAAUAGCUAAACGAGCGAGCAGUUGUGUUUAAUAUUAAUUUAUACAUUAUUAUUAUAUGAGUCCGGCUCGGAUACUUCUAAUAGCACAAAAUAUUUGGUGCUAUCAAGUUUUUCAAUGUUAAAUUCAACCCUUUGGCUAUUUUUAUCCGUUAGGACAUACUAUUUAACAUCUGCUCAUUCAAUCCUAAAAGACCACUAUUAAUUAUCCUAACCGUACAUCCCUUCAUCCAACGGUAAAAAAUUAAAUAGCACCAAUAAUUUAAUACUAUUAAAAGCAUUCCAACAUAAUUCAUUAUUAUAUAUUAUUAUUAAAUUUAACUUAUUAGAAAAGUUGA